UAGGGAAUCUUCCACAAUGGACGCAAGUCUGAUGGAGCAACGCCGCGUGAGUGAAGAAGGUUUUCGGAUCGUAAAGCUCUGUUGUUGGUGAAGAAGGAUAGAGGCAGUAACUGGUCUUUAUUUGACGGUAAUCAACCAGAAAGUCACGGCUAACUACGUGCCAGCAGCCGCGGUAAUACGUAGGUGGCAAGCGUUGUCCGGAUUUAUUGGGCGUAAAGCGAGCGCAGGCGGAAUGAUAAGUCUGAUGUGAAAGCCCACGGCUCAACCGGGGGAUUGCGUCGGAAACUAUCAUUCUUGAGUGCAGAAGAGGAGAGUGGAAUUCCAUGUGUAGCGGUGGAAUGCGUAGAUAUAUGGAAGAACACCAGUGGCGAAGGCGGCUCUCUGGUCUGCAACUGACGCUGAGGCUCGAAAGCAUGGGUAGCGAACAGG
RNAcentral lists this ribosomal RNA (429 nucleotides) under bacterium. Its description in RNAcentral is "partial 16S ribosomal RNA". It matches the Rfam family "Bacterial small subunit ribosomal RNA", at positions 355 to 776 of the family's 1533-position model. The record is from RNAcentral.